ACUCCGUACGGGAGGCAGCAGGUGGGGAAUAUUGCACAAGUGGGCGCAAGCCUGAUGCAGCAACGCCGUGUGAGUGAAGAAGGUUUUCGGAUCGUAAACUCUGUCCUAAGGGAAGAAAAAAUGACGGUACCUUAGGAGGAAGCCCGGCUAACUACGUGCCAGCAGCCGCGGUAAUACGUAGGGGGCAAGCGUUAUCCGGAAUCACUGGGCGUAAAGGGUGCGUAGGCGGCUUAGCAAGCCAGGGUGAAAGGCAUUGGCUCAACCAAUGUAAGCCUUUGGAACUGUUAAGCUUGAGUGCAGGAGAGGUAAGUGGAAUUCCUAGUGUAGAGGUGAAAUUCGUAGAUAUUAGGAGGAACACCAGUGGCGAAGGCGACUUACUGGACUGUAACUGACGCUGAUGCACGAAAGCGUGGGUAGCGAACAGGAUUAGAUACCCUGGUAGGUCAGUC
Molecule: ribosomal RNA, 449 nt
Filed under: uncultured bacterium
Lineage: Bacteria
Description: bacterial SSU rRNA
Rfam family: Bacterial small subunit ribosomal RNA
Source: RNAcentral